Molecule: long non-coding RNA, 3186 nt
Filed under: Hordeum vulgare
Lineage: Eukaryota; Viridiplantae; Streptophyta; Magnoliopsida; Poales; Poaceae
Description: long non-coding RNA (HVUL_LNC020782)
Source: RNAcentral
UAAUUUCUAACACCCACAUAUAGUUUCAAAAUACACAUAUCAUAUAAGCAACAUAUAGGGCAUGUAUCGAACAUCAUAUAAGAGCAACACAACAAAUAGGCUACGUUCCAAUACAUACACAUAGUUUCAAUCAUCAUACAUACACAUACUUAUCGUAUCUCCAUAGAUACACAUAGUUUCACACUGUUUAUCAAUACAAAUCGAAACAGAAAGUAAAUAGUAGCAGUCCAUCAAUGCUGGCUUCCAUGAAUGCCAGCUUCCAUGAAGUGAAUCAAAUCUGCAAAAUGAAAACAAGAAAGUUAGAGGAAGAAGAAGAAGAANAAGAAGAAGAAGAAGAAACUAGAAGAAGAAGAAGANNAAGAAGAAGAAGAAGAAAAAGAAAACUAGAAGAAUAAGAACAAGAAGAAAACUAAAACAACAACAACAAGAAGAAGAAAACUAGAAGAAGAAGAAGACUAGAAGAAGGAGAAAAACAAGAAGAAGGAGAAGGAGAAGGAGAAGAUGAUUAUUUAUCUUAUUUUGAGCUUAUUAUGUUAUUUUGGAGGGAGAUACGCUAAGUUAUGAGAUAACCGUGGUUCUUGUGCUAUUUUUGCCUUAACUAAGCUAAUUAUGUUAUAAAUGAACUAAAUAAGCUAAUUAUGUCAUUUUGGAGGAUAAUUAGCGAAGUAUGUCAUUUUGGAGAAUAAAACUACAAGAAGAAGAAGGAGGAGAAGAACAAGACUAGAAGAAGAAGAAGAAGAAGAAGAAGAAGAAGGAGAUGAAGGAGAAGAAGGAGGAGGAGGAGGAGAAGAAGGAGAAGAAGGAGGAGAAGGAUAAGAAGGAUGCGAGAAAGAAGAAGAAGGAGAAGAUGAUUACUUAUCUUAUUUUGAGCUUAUUAUGUUAUUUUGGAGGGAGAUACGCUAAGUUAUGAGCUAACCAAGGUUCUGGUGCUAUUUUUGACCUAACUAAGCGAAUUAUAUCAUAAAUGAACUAAAUAAGCUAAGUAUGUCGUUUUGGAGGAUAAUUAGCUAAGUAUGUCAUUUUGGAGAAUAAAACUAGAAGAAGAAGAAGAAGAUCAAGACUAGAAGAAGAAGGAGGAGGAGGAGGAGGAGGAGGAGGAGAAGGAGAAGGAGAAGAAGGAGGAGAAGGAGAAUAAAGUUGAGAAAAAGAAGGAGCAGAACAAGGAGAAGAUGAUUACUUAUCUCAUUUUGAGAUUAUUAUGACAUUUUGGAGGGGGGUACGCUAAGCUAUGGGAUAACCAAGGUUCUUGUGCUAUUUUUGACCUAACUAAGCUAAUUAUGUCAUAAAUGAACUAAAUAAGCUAAGUAUGUCAUUUUGGAGGAUAAUUAGCUAAGUAUGUCAUUUUUGGAGAAUAAAACGAGAAGAAGGAGAAGAACAAGACUAGAAGAAGAAGAAGAAGAAGAAGAAGGUGAAGAUGAUUACUUAUCUUAUUUUGAGCUUAUUAUGUCAUUUUGGAGGAGGAUACGCUUAGUUAUGAGCUAACCAAGGUUCUUGUGCUAUUUUUGACCUAACUAAGCUAAUUAUGUCAUUUUGGAGGAUAAUUAUCUAAGUAUGUCAUUUUGGAGGAUAAUUAGCUAAGUAUGUCAUUUUGGAGAAUAAAACUAGAAGAAGAAGAAGACUACAAGAAGAAGGAGAAAAAGAAGAAGGAGAAGAAGAAAGUGAACAUGAUUGCUUAUCUUAUUUUGAGCUUAUUAUGUCAUUUUGGAGGAAGAUGCGCUACGUUAUGAGCUAACCAAGGUUCUUGUGCUAUUUUUGACCUAACUAAGCUAAUUACGUCAUUUUGGAGGAUAAUUAUCUAAGUAUGUCAUUUUGGAGGGUAAUUAGCUAAUUAUGUCAUUUUGGAGAAUAAAACUAGAAUAAGAAGGAGAAGGAGAAGAAGAAGACUAGAAGAAGGAGAAAAAGAAGAAGAAGGAGAAGAAGAAGAAGAAGAAGGUGAAGAUGACUACUGUCGUGGUUUUGUCACGGCAGAUGUCCUCGUGAAAGGACUUAGUACGGGAGCCAUCGCACCUUGGUGGCGACUCAAAAGGGGUUAAACGGGAGGAACACGGCGGUUUACCCAGGUUCGGCCCCUCGAGAGGAGGUAAUAGCCUACGUCCUGCUUUGUGCGUAUUGAUGUGGAUUCGAUUACAAGGGAGGCGUAACUCGCCUAACCUAGCGCUCGAUGAUUUUCUAACCCCCCCAAUCCUCCUUCAGACUCGCCUUUAUAUAUAGGUCGAGCUUUAGGGUUUACAAGAGUCCCUUCAUCCUUACAAACCGUGACCACCGUAUUCUCUAAGUCGCCGUUCUGCAGAACUCAGAGAUCUUCCAUAAAUCAUAACCGUCACGCGGCCUUGAACCGCCCAGGCUGAAGCCCAAGUAUCCCAAAGGAUGAAUCGCCUUACUAGUAACCCGGCCCAUCUUGGGCGGGUCACUUAAUAAGCAAUAUCCCCAACAACUACUUAUCUUAUUUAGAGCUUAUUAUGUCAUUUUGGAGGAAGAUACGCUAAGUUAUGAGCUAAGAAGGUUCUUGUGCUAUUUUUGACCUAACUAAGCUAAUUAUGUCAUUUUGGAGGAUAAUUAGUUAAGUAUGUCAUUUGGGAGGAUAAUUAGCUAAGUAUGUCAUUUUGGAGAAUAAAACUAGAAGAAGAAGAAGAUUAUGUCAUAUUGGAGAAAAUAAGCUAAGUAUGCCGGAGAACACUAGGGAAAACUUACCGUCGUCGUCAUCAAGGAUGUGAAUCAUGGGGGUUGCUAGGGGCGGGUUCACUUGGAGAAGGUUGCCCUAGAGAAGGGUUGUGCGAUGCGGCUCGGGAGUUAUUAUGCACCAAAGAUAUUUUGCAAUGUCUCGUUGGCAUGAUGACAGUCAAAUGUUAAUACUACUAACUAAUGGCCAUUGAAAUGAAACUCACCCUUCCAACCCCAGAAAUAUCCGGCAUCGGCGGAGGGGUCUGACAGUUCUGGAGGCACAUAGACUGCACAUUUAUUUUUGAAGGGUUAGUCAUAUCAGUUAGUAAUGAAACGAACAUUACAUGCAUGAUUUGGCUAAUGUGAACAAGAAACUUACCACAAGGAGAUCGUACAUGGUCCGGUUAGCCGCCUUAUUUCGUGCCCUCUUCUCCUCCAAGAACCAAGUCGUGUUCUCCUUCGUGGCUCGGUCCCUCUCCUCCAGAAGCACCUGGGUUGGCGCUCUCUCUUUCUAAAGAGUAGCCU